Esox lucius (northern pike) is the source of this 781-nucleotide long non-coding RNA. RefSeq lists it as uncharacterized. The record is from RefSeq and is a predicted model, not a curated record. The transcript is spliced from 2 exons. Lineage: Eukaryota; Metazoa; Chordata; Actinopteri; Esociformes; Esocidae.
ACAAUGGUUUUCAGAAGUGUUCCUGAGCCCAUGCAGUGAUGUCCAAGACAUAAUCAUGUCUGUUUUUAUUGCAGUUCCAACCCGCAUGAAGGAAUGUGAGCCCCCCCUUCAUUGACUACCUGACUGGCACCCCAACCCGCUUUGGGAAGAAUAGUUUUGGGAGCUCCGACGUGCCAACAAGCCUUUGACCAGCUUAAGGGUGCCUAGAUGAACACCCAAUUCCUUCCAUAUGUAGGUUUCAGUAAACACAUUUAACAAUGUUUAUUCAUCAACAAAUGAACUUACCAGGUCACAUAAUUGGAAUUCUACAACAGUAACCAAGUAGUCAAUUCAGUAGGUUUUGUAUAUCUUGUGCAGUAUUAAUGAGUAAUUAUUUAGUACUUUUUCAUGAGGGCUCAGGAGAUUUUACUCCUGAGGGAGCAAGUCCUGUUUGAAAUACCCAUUAUCAAACAACUAGGGCUAUACAAUUUAUCUAACAUUAUUCAGCAAUGAAAAAAACAAACCUCUAUAAUGUUUCCACUACGAAUCAACCAUUGUAAAAGACAACAGCCAACACAGAUAUCACAGUAACUUUGAAUUUAUUUGAAUAUGUAAAGAUACUAUAUUGAACACCUUAAAUUAGUUAGGUUACAAUUGAAAAAGAAACAUUUAGGAUUUUUUUAAUACAAAUGUAUAUUUAUAGAUAUUUAAAGGUGACGAAUAGAUUUCUUUCAAAUAUAACACUGUUUCUUAAAUAAAUAACUGCUGAUUGAAUCCAUCUUACAACUUAUUAAUUACACCA